CUGCAGGACAAGUUCGAGCAUCUUAAAAUGAUUCAACAGGAGGAGAUAAGGAAGCUCGAGGAAGAGAAAAAACAACUGGAAGGAGAAAUCAUAGAUUUUUAUAAAAUGAAAGCUGCCUCUGAAGCACUGCAGACUCAGCUGAGCACCGAUACAAAGAAAGACAAACAUCCUGAUCCAUAUGAAUUCCUCUUCAAGAAAAAUAAAGCAUCCAGGAUUCAAUGAAGAACUGACUAUCACCUUGUUAAUCAUUCAGAAACAUGUUGCAGACUUAAGCCAUUUUUGAUAUAGAUACUGAAACAAUUACUUGCUAAGAGCAAACUUGAAGGUAUGGAUAAGGCCCUGAGUCAUCUUCCUGAGCUGAAUGAUAGUUAAGCUGAAUGUACGUAUAAAAUAUGAUUUUCUAACCACUUGCUCGCCAACAAGGAAAACUUUUAAGUAGAGCAGAACCUGAAUAGACAAGACAUUUCUUUCUUUUGGUAGAAAAUGAUUUACCAUCACUGUCUAGUUAAUUGUAGACUAGGUAAUUUUAACUUUGUGAUUUAUUGCCGGAGACAUUUUCUUCUGUACUGUAAAGUGUGUGUCAAAAAAAAAUAGCGAUUUUGGAGGAUUAGGGGAGUUUGAUAAAUUGCCUGCAAUUCUGGCAGUAUGAACUGCAUAUUAAUUUCUCUCUUUCAAGAACAUUUUUAUUAAUUCCUUACAAAAACUCCCUAAACUUUGGAACAGCUCUCAAUUGCCUGUAUUC
This 742-nucleotide long non-coding RNA is filed under the name Pan troglodytes (chimpanzee). RNAcentral describes it as "lincRNA". Lineage: Eukaryota; Metazoa; Chordata; Mammalia; Primates; Hominidae. The record is from RNAcentral.